RNAcentral lists this ribosomal RNA (432 nucleotides) under uncultured bacterium. RNAcentral describes it as "bacterial SSU rRNA". It matches the Rfam family "Bacterial small subunit ribosomal RNA", at positions 8 to 444 of the family's 1533-position model. The record is from RNAcentral.
AGAGUUUGAUCCUGGCUCAGAUUGAACGCUGGCGGCAUGCCUUACACAUGCAAGUCGAACGGCAGCGCGGGGCAACCUGGCGGCGAGUGGCGAACGGGUGAGUAAUAUAUCGGAACGUACCCUGGAGUGGGGGAUAACGUAGCGAAAGUUACGCUAAUACCGCAUACGAUCUAAGGAUGAAAGUGGGGGAUCGCAAGACCUCAUGCUCCUGGAGCGGCCGAUAUCUGAUUAGCUAGUUGGCGGGGUAAAAGCCCACCAAGGCAACGAUCAGUAGCUGGUCUGAGAGGACGACCAGCCACACUGGAACUGAGACACGGUCCAGACUCCUACGGGAGGCAGCAGUGGGGAAUUUUGGACAAUGGGCGCAAGCCUGAUCCAGCAAUGCCGCGUGAGUGAAGAAGGCCUUCGGGUUGUAAAGCUCUUUUGCCAGGG